This 878-nucleotide ribosomal RNA is filed under the name Bacillus subtilis. Its description in RNAcentral is "bacterial SSU rRNA". It matches the Rfam family "Bacterial small subunit ribosomal RNA", at positions 49 to 908 of the family's 1533-position model. The record is from RNAcentral. Lineage: Bacteria; Bacillati; Bacillota; Bacilli; Caryophanales; Bacillaceae.
CUAUACAUGCAGUCGAGCGGACAGAUGGGAGCUUGCUCCCUGAUGUUAGCGGCGGACGGGUGAGUAACACGUGGGUAACCUGCCUGUAAGACUGGGAUAACUCCGGGAAACCGGGGCUAAUACCGGAUGGUUGUUUGAACCGCAUGGUUCAAACAUAAAAGGUGGCUUUGGCUACCACUUACAGAUGGACCCGCGGCGCAUUAGCUAGUUGGUGAGGUAACGGCUCACCAAGGCAACGAUGCGUAGCCGACCUGAGAGGGUGAUCGGCCACACUGGGACUGAGACACGGCCCAGACUCCUACGGGAGGCAGCAGUAGGGAAUCUUCCGCAAUGGACGAAAGUCUGACGGAGCAACGCCGCGUGAGUGAUGAAGGUUUUCGGAUCGUAAAGCUCUGUUGUUAGGGAAGAACAAGUACCGUUCGAAUAGGGCGGUACCUUGACGGUACCUAACCAGAAAGCCACGGCUAACUACGUGCCAGCAGCCGCGGUAAUACGUAGGUGGCAAGCGUUGUCCGGAAUUAUUGGGCGUAAAGGGCUCGCAGGCGGUUUCUUAAGUCUGAUGUGAAAGCCCCCGGCUCAACCGGGGAGGGUCAUUGGAAACUGGGGAACUUGAGUGCAGAAGAGGAGAGUGGAAUUCCACGUGUAGCGGUGAAAUGCGUAGAGAUGUGGAGGAACACCAGUGGCGAAGGCGACUCUCUGGUCUGUAACUGACGCUGAGGAGCGAAAGCGUGGGGAGCGAACAGGAUUAGAUACCCUGGUAGUCCACGCCGUAAACGAUGAGUGCUAAGUGUUUAGGGGGUUUCCGCCCCUUAGUGCUGCAGCUAACGCAUUAAGCACUCCGCCUGGGGAGUACGGUCGCAAGACUGAAACUCAAGGAA